RNAcentral lists this ribosomal RNA (497 nucleotides) under uncultured bacterium. RNAcentral's name for it is "partial 16S ribosomal RNA". It matches the Rfam family "Bacterial small subunit ribosomal RNA", at positions 28 to 507 of the family's 1533-position model. The record is from RNAcentral.
GAUGAACGCUGGCGGCGUGCCUAAUACAUGCGAGUCGAGCGAACAGACGAGGAGCUUGCUCCUCUGACGUUAGCGGCGGACGGGUGAGUAACACGUGGAUAACCUACCUAUAAGACUGGGAUAACUUCGGGAAACCGGAGCUAAUACCGGAUAAUAUAUUGAACCGCAUGGUUCAAUAGUGAAGGACGGUUUUGCUGUCACUUAUAGAUGGAUCCGCGCCGCAUUAGCUAGUUGGUAAGGUAACGGCUUACCAAGGCGACGAUGCGUAGCCGACCUGAGAGGGUGAUCGGCCACACUGGAACUGAGACACGGUCCAGACUCCUACGGGAGGCAGCAGUAGGGAAUCUUCCGCAAUGGGCGAAAGCCUGACGGAGCAACGCCGCGUGAGUGAUGAAGGUCUUCGGAUCGUAAAACUCUGUUAUUAGGGAAGAACAAAUGUGUAAGUAACUAUGCACGUCUUGACGGUACCUAAUCAGAAAGCCACGGCUAACUACGUG